CCAGUCCUAAGUUGCUGUGCAGACUUGCCACAUGCUCAUGCGCUUGGAUGUUUGAAACAAAGGAGCGAGGACAAUCCCUUGAGACCUUUUGCUGUUUAUGCAGCGCUAUCACCCAAGAAGCACGUUGCUGGCACUUGAACAGUAUGUUAUCAUCAUCCUUAGAGAGGUGCUACAGAGUGCAAAGUUAGGCGUGGCAAGCUGGUCAAAUAUCAACUGGCAGUCAAAUACUGUCAAAUAUUCCGGAUCAUGGACCUACUGUGGGAAUUGGACCCUUUUCUUCAAGAGUAUGAAAGAUGUAAUAAAUCUAUAAAUACUUGGCACACACAACCACGUAAGUCUGUCCCAGACAAUGAAAUAUUCCAGCUCUACCCAGCUGCAUACCAAAUUCAUCUUGGCACAACCACUCGCAUUAAGGAGAGCUACAUACAGCAAAGGAGGCUCAAUUUAGUUGAAAAAUAAUUAUGUGGCAUCAUUAUUCAUUUGUGUUUGAAACUGAUAAGACUGCAGGAUAUUUUCAUGCAGUAUUUUGUGUUUUUCUAAGUUG
Mauremys reevesii (Reeves's turtle) is the source of this 544-nucleotide long non-coding RNA. RefSeq lists it as uncharacterized. The transcript is spliced from 3 exons. NCBI's taxonomy places the organism in Eukaryota, Metazoa, Chordata, Testudines, Geoemydidae. The record is from RefSeq and is a predicted model, not a curated record.